GAGACCCCUCCCCAUCCGGUCCCCCACCACAGCGACCCCUGUACUGCCGGCCAGUCUCAACACCCCGACCCCCCCACCCGGAGGCUGUCAAUCACAUGGGAGGCGUGGCCAGUCAGACGUGAGCCCUGGUGGGGGGGGAGGGGAGUGGCACAGACUAUGUCCCCGCCUCCCGAUCUCCCUGCCGCCUCCACCUCCCAACCAAUCACGUUGUCUCCUGACCAUGUGUGCAGCUUUUACCGCUUAGGGGUGUACCAUGCCCGCACGCACACAUACACACACACACACACACGCACGCACACACACACACCCCCGCCAGUAUUCAACCCCCGCCAUCCCCCUCUCACACAUCCUCGCUCAGCAGAAGGUGUCAUCGCAUUCCAGUCCUUUGGAAACAAGAUCCCAGAAUAUGGGGCCGGAUGAACCCCUGCGUCACGCUCCGGGAGACCCCAAACAUCCCAACCAUGUGCUCCAACCCCACGGCCUCUCCGACCGUGAACUGAGCGCGAACUGACCAAGUUUACCACUCGCUUUUCGGAAGGGACCCAAGGGCGCGUAUUUGCUCCUAGAGGCCAAGUGCGGGACCCUUUUUUUUUGUUUGUUGUUUUUUUUAUAUGGCUUUGUUACGUUUGACUUUUCAGUCGACGGUUCUUUCUACGCUGUAAACUUUUCUUACUCCCCCCCUUCUCUAAUCAUGUAAAUAAUUUAAGACUGCUGACUUUUUUUGUAUCCUGGAUUUUGAAGGGCAAGCUUUAUCAAUCCUGUACAUAGUUUUCUUUGUCUGUUUAGAUGCCGCAGAUCAGUUGUUUCAGCUGGGUUUGGCGUUUUGGGGACGAUCGUCGGCACGAGCGCUACUUCACUGGUAACCGUAGUAACCGUUGCCGCUGUGAGAGAGCGUGCGCGCGGUGGUUCUGAAGCUAAGGGAAAAUGUCACAACUUUAUAAUUUUUGUACAGAUCUGCAUGGAUUUCUGUCUGGGGGGGGGGGAGGAGGGAGGGGGAUGAGGUUAAAAUUGAAAAACAGAACGCUGGGGUUCCAAGCUACAACGUUAAGGUGCUUUUGACCUUCAAGUGGGCUUUGUGGAUUUCAAUGUUUUUAAAACUUGCUUUCUGAGUCGCUAUUAAUCGAAUAUGUAGUAGCUGAACGUUUUGGCGAACGAGGAGAGGAAUCAACGAUCUGGUUUGGCGUCAGGCGCUGGAUCUGACGGUUACAGUUUUGAUUUGUGAAACGGGUUCUUAGACCCACUCGAUGGGUCGGUGAGUUGGUCCUCGGGAAGAGCUGAAAUGUACGAGAAGGAUUAUCACUUUAUCGCUGUCUACUAAAUCAGGUGAGAGGCAGACGAGUUGAAUCAAAUCUACCAAGUGUACUUCUAACCCGAAAGAGCUUUAUUUCGAAUUCCCGCUCAUCUGCUGCGACGUUGAUUUUUUUUUUUUUUGUCAUGAAUUUUAAAAGGAGGAUUUAUUUUCACGAGAGUUCUGCGUGUUGGGAGUCGAAAACCCCAUUGACUUUGACCUGUGGUUGAUAAAGAGGAAAUGACAUCAUGGCGUGGACCCCCCACCCCUCUGCCUUCUGAAAAUUCGGGGGCCAUUUUACGCACCUUAUGGGAAAACCAAAAGGAAACCUCGGAAUGCCUCCGCACCUCAGGUCGACCUGAGAGGCGGUUUUCGAAACGCACGUCCCCUUCAGCGGCGAGUUUUACCCCAGGACUGGUGAUUAAAGCGCUCUCGCUCAGAUUACUCUGUGUCAUCAUAACGAGGCUCUGGUUCUGAUAGGCUGAUUAAAGUGCUCGCUCAGAUUACUCUGUGUCAUCAUAACGAGGCUCUGGUUCUGAUAGGCUGAACUGAAGCACAAAUAUGCUGUGGCCCAAUACGGUUACACCUCAGACAGCUUGAGAGGGUAAGAGAGUGGGUCACUGUCGCUCAUCGCUAAAAUACGCUUUGUGUAAAAUGGAGGCUGCCCAGCCCUGUUCCUGGAGAUCUACCCUCUUUUACGUUUUAAUUUCAACCCUAAUUUGGCACACCUGAUUCUAAAAAAUGAGCAGCUCAGUCUGAUCUCUAGCUGUUGACUGAGGGGUGCUUUGUUAGGGUUGGACUGCAAACCUACAGGACAGUAGAUCCCCAGGAACAGGAUUGGGCAGCCUUUGAUGUAAAACUCUGAGGACACCACAAGCCUCCAUCCACAGAGGACAGACAGACAGAGAGAGAGAGUGGUGAGAGAUUUCCUUGCUCUCCAUUACCAGUCUUGUAAUUUUGGCAGAAUCAUGGAUGUUGAUCUGCCAGACUGAUCACAAACAUUUUUUUUGUGUGUAGAUCAUAGAUUACAGAACUACUAGACUGAACACAGCAUUUACCAGAGGUUUUCUCAAAAAGUCCCGUCCAAUAACAUAGCCUGAACAGAAGCCCCUCGCGGAAAACCUUGAUGGAGCCCUGAUUAGAACCUCCCAAUUUAAACCAAAGCAGCAUCCAGCAUGGAUCUAAGAAGAGUAGACUGGCCCAGCGUGGUCAAAGCCCAGAUAGUAUGAAUUGUGUCUGUCACAUUCCGUAUGGGUGAAACAUGAUCUAGAGAUGCUCUUGACUAGUGCUUGCAAGGUAUUGUGGGAUGUCAGGAAUGUUGCCUGAGGUGUGGGGUUUGUGUUCUGGAAAAUAAGAGUUUGGGGGUGUGUUCCCCCUUGUGUGUGUGUGGUGUCGACUCUCACAGGCCCAAUUUUGGGGUAAAUCGAGGGGUGCCCACAUUCAGGUAUAAAUUUUUUAAUCCAAUCCGUUCAUGUGUUGAGUUUGGAGGUUUUUUUAAUAAAGGAGUCAAGCAAAGCCUUUAAAAUCAUUUUUAGGACCUUAUUGUCAGGUCUGAACCUUCUGUGUCCUGGUUCUGCUUAGAGUUUAGAGAUUUUGCAUCAUUUCACUGGUGAAGUGGCUUGACCGUUCUCGAGAAGCAGCCAUUUUGUUUGCUUCUUGUCCAUCUGCUACUUGCCCCUCCUUGAAAGUCUUUGGGAAGCUGACUGGUUCUUUCUUUUCACAAAUCAGUCCCUCCUCUUACGGAGUUUGUGUCUAAGCACAAUCCUACUUCAUCUCUCUUGCAAUGUAAAUAUGUUUAUUUGUUUUUAAUUUAUGUUUAUUGCAGAAAUCAAUCCAUUUGGGUUGGUGGUAUAUAUGAAUGCACUUCAUGCAAUAAUUGUCAAGUGCAUUGAAAUAUUGUGACUUCUUACAAGUCUAAAUUUAAUAAAAAAAUGUUCUAUGACAUUUCUUUCA
This is a long non-coding RNA of Anguilla rostrata (American eel), 3241 nucleotides long. RefSeq lists it as uncharacterized. The record is from RefSeq and is a predicted model, not a curated record. The transcript has 2 exons. Lineage: Eukaryota; Metazoa; Chordata; Actinopteri; Anguilliformes; Anguillidae.